UACGUAGGGUGCGAGCGUUAAUCGGAAUUACUGGGCGUAAAGCGUGCGCAGGCGGUGAUGUAAGACAGAUGUGAAAUCCCCGGGCUCAACCUGGGACCUGCAUUUGUGACUGCAUCGCUGGAGUGCGGCAGAGGGGGAUGGAAUUCCGCGUGUAGCAGUGAAAUGCGUAGAUAUGCGGAGGAACACCGAUGGCGAAGGCAAUCCCCUGGGCCUGCACUGACGCUCAUGCACGAAAGCGUGGGGAACAAACAGG
Molecule: ribosomal RNA, 253 nt
Filed under: uncultured bacterium
Lineage: Bacteria
Description: partial 16S ribosomal RNA
Rfam family: Bacterial small subunit ribosomal RNA
Source: RNAcentral